GAUGAACGCUGGCGGCGUGCCUAAUACAUGCAAGUCGAGCGAACGGACGAGAAGCUUGCUUCCCUGAUGUUAGCGGCGGACGGGUGAGUAACACGUGGAUAACCUACCUAUAAGACUGGGAUAACUUCGGGAAACCGGAGCUAAUACCGGAUAAUAUUUUGAACCGCAUGGUUCAAAAGUGAAAGACGGUCUUGCUGUCACUUAUAGAUGGAUCCGCGCUGCAUUAGCUAGUUGGUAAGGUAACGGCUUACCAAGGCAACGAUGCAUAGCCGACCUGAGAGGGUGAUCGGCCACACUGGAACUGAGACACGGUCCAGACUCCUACGGGAGGCAGCAGUAGGGUAUCUUCCGCAAUGGGCGAAAGCCUGACGGAGCAACGCCGCGUGAGUGAUGAAGGUCUUCGGAUCGUAAAACUCUGUUAUUAGGGAAGAACAUAUGUGUAAGUAACUGUGCACAUCUUGACGGUACCUAAUCAGAAAGCCACGGCUAACUACGUG
Molecule: ribosomal RNA, 497 nt
Filed under: uncultured bacterium
Lineage: Bacteria
Description: partial 16S ribosomal RNA
Rfam family: Bacterial small subunit ribosomal RNA
Source: RNAcentral